AUUUAGCCAGCUGAGUGGGGAGGAGAGAGGGACAGAGAGCCUGCUUGCUUUAAAGGAGCCAACCGGCUUUGCUCCUUUAAAGCAAGCAGGCUCUUUGUCCCUCUCUCCUCCCCACUCAGCGGCUCUUCUC
Molecule: microRNA precursor, 130 nt
Filed under: Podarcis lilfordi (Lilford's wall lizard)
Lineage: Eukaryota; Metazoa; Chordata; Lepidosauria; Squamata; Lacertidae
Source: RNAcentral